UUCUUAAUCAAUAUAAAAUUUGGAGAGUACAAGUAAAGAACUUAAAAACCAAAGAAUAUGGCGGUAUUUUAUUCUAUCAGGGGAACCUGUGUCUUAAUUUGAUAGUCCACGUUUUUAAAGUCUAAUUUUGAAAAUUCAGUUUGUGUACUGCCGUAUUAUAGACUUUAAAUAUUAGUUUAUGAAAAUUAUUAAAUAAAGAAAAUCAGGUCAAAGUGCAACUUAUAGUUAGAUGAACCAUGGGUUACAUUUAUAUUAGAUUCGAAUUUUAAUAAUUUGAAGGAUUUGAAAGUAAUUAAAUUUAAAUAAAUAUAAUGAAAUAGAUUCUAAAAUAUGC
This 334-nucleotide ribosomal RNA is filed under the name Macrobdella decora (North American leech). RNAcentral's name for it is "partial 12S ribosomal RNA". Lineage: Eukaryota; Metazoa; Annelida; Clitellata; Hirudinida; Hirudinidae. The record is from RNAcentral.